UACGGAGGGUGCGAGCGUUGUCCGGAAUCAUUGGGCGUAAAGGGCGCGUAGGUGGCGGGACAAGCGUGCGGUGAAAGCUCGGGGCUCAACCCCGGAUCUGCCGUGCCGACUGUCAAACUCGAGGACUGUAGAGGUAGACGGAAUUCCGGGUGUAGCGGUGGAAUGCGUAGAGAUCCGGAGGAAGACCGGUGGUGAAGGCGGUCUGCUGGGCAGUUUCUGACACUGAGGCGCGACAGCGUGGGGAGCAAACAGG
Molecule: ribosomal RNA, 253 nt
Filed under: uncultured bacterium
Lineage: Bacteria
Description: partial 16S ribosomal RNA
Rfam family: Bacterial small subunit ribosomal RNA
Source: RNAcentral